Molecule: ribosomal RNA, 253 nt
Filed under: uncultured bacterium
Lineage: Bacteria
Description: partial 16S ribosomal RNA
Rfam family: Bacterial small subunit ribosomal RNA
Source: RNAcentral
UACGUAGGGACCAAGCGUUGUUCGGAUUUACUGGGCGUAAAGGGCGCGUAGGCGGCCUAGCAAGUCACUUGUGAAAUCUCCGGGCUUAACUCGGAACUGCCAAGUGAGACUGCUGGGCUAGAGUGCAGAAGGGGCAAUCGGAAUUCUUGGUGUAGCGGUGAAAUGCGUAGAUAUCAAGAGGAACACCUGAGGUGAAGACGGGUUGCUGGGCUGACACUGACGCUGAGGCGCGAAAGCCAGGGGAGCAAACGGG